AGUGAACGCUGGCGGUAGGCCUAACACAUGCAAGUCGAACGGCAGCACAGUAAGAGCUUGCUCUUACGGGUGGCGAGUGGCGGACGGGUGAGGAAUACAUCGGAAUCUACUUUUUCGUGGGGGAUAACGUAGGGAAACUUACGCUAAUACCGCAUACGACCUACGGGUGAAAGCAGGGGAUCUUCGGACCUUGCGCGAUUGAAUGAGCCGAUGUCGGAUUAGCUAGUUGGCGGGGUAAAGGCCCACCAAGGCGACGAUCCGUAGCUGGUCUGAGAGGAUGAUCAGCCACACUGGAACUGAGACACGGUCCAGACUCCUACGGGAGGCAGCAGUGGGGAAUAUUGGACAAUGGGCGCAAGCCUGAUCCAGCCAUACCGCGUGGGUGAAGAAGGCCUUCGGGUUGUAAAGCCCUUUUGUUGGGAAAGAAAAGCAGCAGGUUAAUACCACGCUGUUCUGACGGUACCCAAAGAAUAAGCACCGGCUAACUUCGU
This 491-nucleotide ribosomal RNA is filed under the name uncultured bacterium. Its description in RNAcentral is "partial 16S ribosomal RNA". It matches the Rfam family "Bacterial small subunit ribosomal RNA", at positions 29 to 506 of the family's 1533-position model. The record is from RNAcentral.